AUUCCAGCUCCAAUAGCGUAUAUUAAAGUUGUUGCAGUUAAAAAGCUCGUAGUUGGAUGUUGGGUUCUAGUUAUGUUCGGUCUCUUCUAGAGUACUGUCAUGCUGGCCCUUUUUCUCGAGGCCUAUAGGUGCACUUAACCGUGUGUUUAUAGUGUUCGGGACUUUUACCGUGAGAAAAUUAGAGUGUUCAUAGCAGGCUAGUGCUUGAAUAUUACAGCAUGGAAUAAUGGAAUAGGAUCAUGAUCUUAUUUUGUUGGUUUCUAAGAUUAAGAUAAUGAUUAAUAGGGAUAGUUGGGGGCAUUAAUAUUUAGUUGUCAGAGGUGAAAUUCUUAGAUUUACAAAAGAUUAACUUCUGCGAAAGCAUUUGCCAAGGAUGUUUUCAUUA
RNAcentral lists this ribosomal RNA (385 nucleotides) under Ichthyosporea sp. RNAcentral's name for it is "partial small subunit ribosomal RNA". It matches the Rfam family "Eukaryotic small subunit ribosomal RNA", at positions 582 to 975 of the family's 1831-position model. The record is from RNAcentral. Lineage: Eukaryota; Ichthyosporea.